This 253-nucleotide ribosomal RNA is filed under the name uncultured bacterium. Its description in RNAcentral is "partial 16S ribosomal RNA". It matches the Rfam family "Bacterial small subunit ribosomal RNA", at positions 524 to 776 of the family's 1533-position model. The record is from RNAcentral.
UACAGAGACUGCAAGCGUUAUUCGGAUUCACUGGGCGUAAAGGGAGCGUAGGCGGGCUUCUAAGUUAGGUGUUUAAUCCCAGGGCCCAACCCUGGUCAGGCACCUAAAACUGGGAGUCUUGAAUAGUGGAGAGGACGAUGGAAUUGGGGGUGUAGCGGUGGAAUGCGUAGAGAUCCCCAAGAACACCAGUUGCGAAGGCGGUCGUCUGGACACAUAUUGACGCUGAGGCUCGAAAGCAUGGGGAGCAAACAGG